AACAUCGCGCACCUGCGGGAACCUGCGGAAGGAUCAUUAAUGAUUGGUGGCUGUUGCUGACUAGUGUUUCUAGUAUGUGCACGCCACACCUUCAAUCCCACUUACACCUGUGCACCUUCUGUAAUAGAUCUAUGUGGAUACGGAGAUAUGAAAGUUUGCGCUCUCGUACUCUGUUGAAGCAGUCUACUGCGUUUUUUUACACACACACAAUAGUCAUUGAAUGUAUUUUUUAUUCUUAUG
RNAcentral lists this unclassified non-coding RNA (240 nucleotides) under soil metagenome. Its description in RNAcentral is "partial contains 5.8S ribosomal RNA, internal transcribed spacer 2, and large subunit ribosomal RNA". The record is from RNAcentral.